RNAcentral lists this ribosomal RNA (444 nucleotides) under uncultured bacterium. RNAcentral's name for it is "bacterial SSU rRNA". It matches the Rfam family "Bacterial small subunit ribosomal RNA", at positions 84 to 518 of the family's 1533-position model. The record is from RNAcentral.
GUCGCUGGCGACCGGCGCACGGGUGGAGUAACGCGUAUCCAACCUUCCCCACUAGUAGAGGAGUAGCCCGGCGAAAGUCGGAUUAAUACUCUAUGUUGUACAACGAGGACAUCUGAAUUGUACCAAAGAUUUAUCGCUAUGGGAGUGGGGAGUGCGUCUGAUUAGGUAGGUCGGCGGGGUAACGGCCCACCGAGCCGACGAUCAGUAGGGGUUCGUGAGAGGAAGGUCCCCCACAUUGGUACUGAGACACGGACCAAACUCCUACGGGAGGCAGCAGUGAGGAAUAUUGGUCAAUGGGCGCGAGCCUGAACCAGCCAAGUAGCGUGCAGGAAUGACUGCCCUAUGGGCUGUAAACUGCUUUUAUGCGGGAAUAAAGUCAGGUACGUGUACCUGUUUGUAUGUACCGCAUGAAUAAGGACCGGCUAAUUCCGUGCCAGCCGCCGC